UAUACGUCGGUGAUUGCGAUGCUGGUUGCCAUAGUUGCGGUGUUUGCACUUAACAUCUUUCUGCUCAGUAGAAGAAUAAGUGGCAUGCGAGAGCCUCAAGAUCAUCAAGAUGAAAAAGAGGCUUCACAGGCUGGUAUCUAUGACGACUGCAGGGCGGCUUCAGACUCGACCUACCAAACCCUGAACACGGCCACCAUGGAGCCGGAGCACACCUACGCUGCUGUCUCCACAA
Molecule: long non-coding RNA, 232 nt
Organism: Myripristis murdjan (pinecone soldierfish)
Lineage: Eukaryota; Metazoa; Chordata; Actinopteri; Holocentriformes; Holocentridae
Exons: 3
Source: RefSeq, a predicted model, not a curated record